This 207-nucleotide ribosomal RNA is filed under the name uncultured bacterium. Its description in RNAcentral is "partial 16S ribosomal RNA". It matches the Rfam family "Bacterial small subunit ribosomal RNA", at positions 568 to 774 of the family's 1533-position model. The record is from RNAcentral.
CGCGUAGGCGGUCUGCUAAGUUCGGUGUGAAAUCCCCCUGGCUCAACUGGGGAACUGCGCCGGAAACUGGCAGACUAGAGUACCGGAGAGGAGGGUGGAAUUCCUGGUGUAGCGGUGAAAUGCGUAGAUAUCAGGAGGAACACCGGUGGCGAAGGCGGCCCUCUGGACGGAUACUGACGCUGAGGCGCGAAAGCGUGGGAUCAAACA